RNAcentral lists this ribosomal RNA (253 nucleotides) under uncultured bacterium. Its description in RNAcentral is "partial 16S ribosomal RNA". It matches the Rfam family "Bacterial small subunit ribosomal RNA", at positions 524 to 776 of the family's 1533-position model. The record is from RNAcentral.
UACGAAGGGGGCUAGCGUUGUUCGGAAUUACUGGGCGUAAAGCGCGCGCAGGCGGUCUUCCAAGUCAGUGGUGAAAGCCCGGAGCUCAACUCCGGAAUUGCCAUUGAAACUGUUAGACUUGAGGAUGAGAGAGGUGAGUGGAAUUCCCAGUGUAGAGGUGAAAUUCGUAGAUAUUGGGAAGAACACCGGUGGCGAAGGCGGCUCACUGGGUCAUUACUGACGCUCAGGCGCGAUAGCGUGGGGAGCAAACAGG